CCUCGCCACUCCAGCUGCGCCUCCGGCUGCAGCGCACACGUCUCCUGCCUCCUCCUCCGGAGCGUCGCUGUCCGUCGGGUUCAUCCCUCGCAGCAGUCUCCAGGCGAGAGAGGGGGCCAGAGUGCUCGCCCUUCUCCUAGGGGCACCAUGCCCAACGACGAGGCAUUCGGCAAGCCCUCUACACCGUCGGAAGCCCCUCACGCCCCCGGGGUACCGCCGCAGGGCAGAGCCGGGGGCUUUGGCAAAGCGUCUGGGGCGCUAGUGGGGGCGGCCAGCGGCUCGAGCGCCGGGGGCAGAGGAGGCGGCUCCGGCUCCGGGGCGUCGGACCUGGGUGCCGGGAGCAAGAAGUCCCCGCGGCUGCCCAAGUGCGCACGCUGCAGGAACCACGGCUACGCCUCGCCGCUCAAGGGCCACAAGCGCUUCUGCAUGUGGCGCGACUGCCAGUGCAAGAAGUGCAACCUGAUCGCCGAGAGGCAGCGCGUGAUGGCCGCGCAGGUGGCCCUGAGAAGGCAGCAGGCCCAGGAGGAGGAAUUGGGUAUCAGCCACCCCAUCCCACUGCCCAGUGCGGCCGAGCUACUUGUCAAAAGAGAGAACAAUGGCAGCAACCCGUGCCUCAUGACUGAGUGCAGUGGCACCUCUCAGCCACCGCCAGCCAGUGUCCCCACCACUGCAGCUUCAGAGGGACGUAUGGUCAUCCAGGAUAUUCCUGCUGUCACCAGCAGAGGGCACGUGGAGAACACACCUGACCUGGUUUCAGACUCCACCUACUACAGCAGCUUCUACCAGCCAUCUCUGUUUCCUUACUACAACAAUCUGUACAACUGCCCGCAGUACUCCAUGGCCUUGGCUGCUGAUUCUGCUUCUGGGGAGGUGGGAAAUCCCCUCGGGGGAUCCCCUGUGAAGAACAGCCUUCGGGGCCUCCCCGGACCUUAUGUGCCUGGUCAGACAGGAAACCAGUGGCAGGUAUGAUAUUAAUUACCCAGAGAGUGAACUGGUUGUGUGAAAGCCACAUGCAUGUGCACACACAUGCACAUACACACAGAGGCACGCACUUGUGCGCACAGAGGCACACAGGUGACACACACAGGUACACGUGUGUGUGCCAUUUUGCACACAUGUAGGCACAAUAUGCAAAACGUGUAAGGAAUUUUUUACUCUGUCGAUAAUGCCCUUUAGCCUCAAAGGUUGGCUGCAAGGAAUUGGAAAGAAAUAAUGUACAAACUUGUUUUCUUUUUCAAAUUUUACUUUUCUCGUUUUUUGAAUGUUGCGUAAAUAACCAGUUGGGCACAGGCAGAUCACAAGUACUGAAUGAGGUACCACCUCCUCCAGCUUUGUCCCCACUUUCGUUGGGCACCUUAGAAAAUGCUGGGUAGAGCCUUCUGGGUGGCAGUAAUCUGCGUGAUGAAUUUACACCUUGGGAAGGAAACAGGUCAUAAUCUGCAUGGAAGAAAGGUAAGGAAAGGAAUUCGGUCACUGUUGAGCUGGACCCAACCUGGGUGCAUUUUUCGCUAGGAAUAGAGGUCAGUCUUUCAUUCUCCAAGUAUGUUUUUUUGUUUGUUUGUUUGUUUGUUUUGGUUUGGUUUUUGAGACAGAGUCUCGCUCUGUUGCCCAGGCUGGAGUGCAGUGGUAGGAUCUCAGCUCACUGCAACUUCUGCCUCCUGGGUUCAAGUGCUGCUUUUCACCUCAGCCUGUCAAGUAGCUGGGAUUACAGGCGCCCACCACCCCACCCAGCUAAUUUU
RNAcentral lists this small RNA (1739 nucleotides) under Pan troglodytes (chimpanzee). RNAcentral describes it as "retained intron". The record is from RNAcentral. Lineage: Eukaryota; Metazoa; Chordata; Mammalia; Primates; Hominidae.